AAGCAACUGCAUGAAGCCUUCAAAUGAAGGAAUAUAUUUCGUUGAACAUCAAUCAGAUCUUUUAAUAGCGGACUGACUUGAAACCACUGUAAACAGCUAAUAGUUCAGCAGAGAAAAAAAAAUGAAGGCCAUCGCACAGCUGUUCCUUCUUCUGGUUAUCUCCACCCUUGUCACUGGAAAAAACCUUCCAUGGACAGCUAAUGAUUCUGGGCGUCCUGUGGAUGAUGAUUUUGAUCAAGAUGAAUUCGAAAACGAUCCUGCUAGUAGAGCCGGGGGGGAGUGGGAUACUCCAAAUGACGCGGAGAACGAUUCUGGCAGCACCUAAAGAGGAAAAGCAACAAGCCCAGGAUUUCGAGGAUUUGUAGUAUUCGAAGAUUUUUUGCAUCUGCAGGAAAUACUUAUAGAGAACACACUGAAGGGAGAAUUUGUUAAUAUGGUCCUAAACUAUACGAUUCAGAAUAAAUGGGAAAAAAUUCAACUC
Long non-coding RNA from Stylophora pistillata, 481 nucleotides. RefSeq lists it as uncharacterized. The record is from RefSeq and is a predicted model, not a curated record. NCBI's taxonomy places the organism in Eukaryota, Metazoa, Cnidaria, Anthozoa, Scleractinia, Pocilloporidae.